Molecule: non-coding RNA, 435 nt
Organism: Vibrio rumoiensis 1S-45
Lineage: Bacteria; Pseudomonadati; Pseudomonadota; Gammaproteobacteria; Vibrionales; Vibrionaceae
Rfam family: Bacterial RNase P class A
About the family: Ribonuclease P (RNase P) is a ubiquitous endoribonuclease, found in archaea, bacteria and eukarya as well as chloroplasts and mitochondria. Its best characterised activity is the generation of mature 5'-ends of tRNAs by cleaving the 5'-leader elements of precursor-tRNAs. Cellular RNase Ps are ribonucleoproteins.
Source: Rfam
GGAGUUGACUGGAUAGUCGCUGCUUCGUUGAUGUCCUUUAUUGCUUUUAUUUCGGUAAAUAGUGGUGGGGAGACUGACGGGGGGGAGGAAAGUCCGGGCUUCAUAGAGCAGGGUGCCAGGUAACGCCUGGGAAGCGCAAGCUUACGACAAGUGCAGCAGAGAGAAAACCGCCGAUGACGCUAUUCUUUAUUUCUUCGGAAGUGGGAAGCGAACAGGUAAGGGUGAAAGGGUGCGGUAAGAGCGCACCGUGCGUCUGGUAACAGUGCGUAGCAGGGUAAACUCCACCCGAAGCAAGACCAAAUAGGCCCUCACAUUGCGUUGCUCGCGUAAGGGGGCGGGUAGGUUGCUUGAGCCUGUGAGUGAUUGCAGGCCUAGACGAAUGGCUAUCACCGCGCAAGCGGAUACAGAACCCGGCUUAUGAUGUCAGCUCCACCA